The sequence is a transfer RNA, 73 nucleotides long. It matches the Rfam family "tRNA". Rfam says of the family: Transfer RNA (tRNA) molecules are approximately 80 nucleotides in length. The record is from Rfam.
GCUCUCAUAGCGUAGUGGUUAGCGCGUCACUCUUACUAAGUGAAGAUCGGCGGUUCGAACCCGUCUGAGAGCA